Molecule: ribosomal RNA, 445 nt
Filed under: uncultured bacterium
Lineage: Bacteria
Description: partial 16S ribosomal RNA
Rfam family: Bacterial small subunit ribosomal RNA
Source: RNAcentral
GUGAGGAAUAUUGGACAAUGGAUGGAAAUCUGAUCCAGCCAUGCCGCGUGCAGGAAGACGGCCCUAUGGGUUGUAAACUGCUUUUAUACGGGAGCAAUAAGGUCUAUGCAUAGAUUGAUGAGAGUACCGUAUGAAUAAGCAUCGGCUAACUCCGUGCCAGCAGCCGCGGUAAUACGGAGGAUGCGAGCGUUAUCCGGAUUUAUUGGGUUUAAAGGGUGCGUAGGCGGCUUUGUAAGUCAGCGGUGAAAUUUUGCAGCUUAACUGUAAAAGCGCCGUUGAUACUGUGAAGCUAGGAUUUGGUUGCUGUGGGCGGAAUGUGUGGUGUAGCGGUGAAAUGCAUAGAUAUCACACAGAAUAUCGAUUGCGAAGGCAGCUCACAAAGCUAAUAUUGACGCUGAUGCACGAAAGUGUGGGGAUCAAACAGGAUUAGAUACCCGGGUAGUCC